GCCAAACUGGGAAAGCCCUAUAUUUGAACUAUCAUCAUGUCUACAGCUUAGUUGCUCUAUCAAUCUGUUAGAAUAUACUCAAAACUGAACUGCAAUUUUUUAUUUCAAAAAAAAAAUUACAAUAGUGACAAGUUUAGUUACCUUGCUCCCAUGUCCUCAACAUCCCAAAAUGAUAGUUUAAUUUUUAAGAAAAAUAAAGUAUUUAUUUUCUACUUCCACCAAAAAUAAUUUAUUUCCCACACAGGUAAUUAAAACUCAAACAUACCCACAUCAAAAAUUAAACUGAUUUGCAGAAUCACAAUAGUUAAAAAGCCUUAAUUUGCCCGAAAACACUUUCAAUCAAAAUUUCAAAGAGGAUCUACUACAAUCACAUUACAACAAUAUUAAAAGAAUAAUAAUAAUAUACAAGAGAUACAAAAGGCCACGCUAUAUAUCAAUAUCAACGAAUGCUAAGAACAAGCAACUCUUUCCUUCCAACAAAAUACAGCAAACCAAAACAAAGCAAGAAGCUUCAUAUGUAUCUCACGUUAAUACAUAUAAAAUAAAAAAAGGCAUAAAUCCAUGCCACAACACUCAAACUUCUCUCUUUUUUUUUUUUCCUUUUCCUUCAUUCUAAUCUCCUUUCACACUUCUUCUCCAAAACCAAACAGAGACAAACCACUGAAAUGAAAACACAUAUAAAAGCGCAGAUAUCAAACUCGGGAUUUGAGUCUCACCAUAGUUGAGGCUGGAUCUGCGAUGGG
Molecule: unclassified non-coding RNA, 743 nt
Filed under: Hevea brasiliensis (rubber tree)
Lineage: Eukaryota; Viridiplantae; Streptophyta; Magnoliopsida; Malpighiales; Euphorbiaceae
Source: RNAcentral